Molecule: non-coding RNA, 74 nt
Organism: Gambusia affinis (western mosquitofish)
Lineage: Eukaryota; Metazoa; Chordata; Actinopteri; Cyprinodontiformes; Poeciliidae
Source: the annotation of a RefSeq genome assembly
GGCUAGUUAGCUCAGUUGGUAAGAGCAGUGUACUUAAAAAGCCAAGGUCAUGGGUUCAAUCCCCACACUGGCCG